CCGCCUGGGGAGUACGGUCGCAAGAUUAAAACUCAAAUGAAUUGACGGGGGCCCGCACAAGCGGUGGAGCAUGUGGUUUAAUUCGAUGCAACGCGAAGAACCUUACCUACUCUUGACAUCCAGAGAACUUUCCAGAGAUGGAUUGGUGCCUUCGGGAACUCUGAGACAGGUGCUGCAUGGCUGUCGUCAGCUCGUGUUGUGAAAUGUUGGGUUAAGUCCCGCAACGAGCGCAACCCUUAUCCUUGUUUGCCAGCGAGUAAUGUCGGGAACUCCAGGGAGACUGCCGGUGAUAAACCGGAGGAAGGUGGGGACGACGUCAAGUCAUCAUGGCCCUUACGAGUAGGGCUACACACGUGCUACAAUGGCGCAUACAGAGGGC
RNAcentral lists this ribosomal RNA (379 nucleotides) under Vibrio parahaemolyticus. RNAcentral's name for it is "bacterial SSU rRNA". It matches the Rfam family "Bacterial small subunit ribosomal RNA", at positions 869 to 1247 of the family's 1533-position model. Lineage: Bacteria; Pseudomonadati; Pseudomonadota; Gammaproteobacteria; Vibrionales; Vibrionaceae. The record is from RNAcentral.